GACUGGGAUGAUUAUUGCUAUAUUCUGACACCUCUUGUAUGAGGUGAAUCGCAAGAUUCAUCUUUGAGCACAUUGAGCAACUCUCUGAGUC
Small nucleolar RNA from Lathyrus oleraceus (garden pea), 91 nucleotides. RefSeq annotates it as small nucleolar RNA snoR1. The transcript has a single exon. NCBI's taxonomy places the organism in Eukaryota, Viridiplantae, Streptophyta, Magnoliopsida, Fabales, Fabaceae. The record is from RefSeq and is a predicted model, not a curated record.